UACGAAGGGGGCUAGCGUUGCUCGGAAUCACUGGGCGUAAAGGGUGCGUAGGCGGGUUUUUAAGUCAGAGGUGAAAUCCUGGAGCUCAACUCCAGAACUGCCUUUGAUACUGAAAGUCUUGAGUAUGGGAGAGGUGAGUGGAAUUGCGAGUGUAGAGGUGAAAUUCGUAGAUAUUCGCAAGAACACCAGUGGCGAAGGCGGCUCACUGGCCCAUAACUGACGCUGAGGCACGAAAGCGUGGGGAGCAAACAGG
This 253-nucleotide ribosomal RNA is filed under the name uncultured bacterium. RNAcentral's name for it is "partial 16S ribosomal RNA". It matches the Rfam family "Bacterial small subunit ribosomal RNA", at positions 524 to 776 of the family's 1533-position model. The record is from RNAcentral.